Molecule: unclassified non-coding RNA, 314 nt
Filed under: uncultured Thelephoraceae
Lineage: Eukaryota; Fungi; Basidiomycota; Agaricomycetes; Thelephorales; Thelephoraceae
Description: sequence contains ITS2
Source: RNAcentral
AACGCACCUUGCGCCCCUUGGCUAUUCCGAGGGGCAUGCCUGUUUGAGUAUCAUGAACACCUCAACUCUCAUGGUUCGCCGUGAUGAGCUUGGACUCUGGGGGUUUUGCUGGCCUGUGGUCGGCUCCUCUCAAAUGAAUCAGCCUCCCAGUGUUUGGCGGCAUCACGGGUGUGAUAAAUAUCUACGCUCGCUGUUGUCUGCCAGGUAACCUUUGGUCACAAAGGUUUGCUGGAGCUCACAGAUGUCUCUCCUCAGCGAGGACAGCUUUUUUAACGUUCGAUCUCAAAUCAGGUAGGACUACCCGCUGAACUUAA